RNAcentral lists this long non-coding RNA (312 nucleotides) under Salmo salar (Atlantic salmon). Its description in RNAcentral is "lncRNA (ENSSSAG00000085571.1)". Lineage: Eukaryota; Metazoa; Chordata; Actinopteri; Salmoniformes; Salmonidae. The record is from RNAcentral.
CUCAACAUAUGUGAAAAUGGCAGCACGUUUCUAUGUUUAAUGGAUAAAGAGAGGAAGGGUGGUGCUGGAGAUGAUGAAUAUGAAGUUGAACAUUUUAGAAAUGUAAAACUAGAACCAGUGAAAAAAUAGCAAAUUUCCAAUUUAAGCCCAAAAGGGAAGAUUCACCCUCUUCAGAUAAUUAUUUAGUAAUUUAUCUGCAAAAAAAACUUUUGAGAUCAAAAGCAGUAGCAACACCAGGAUGAAACACCAGGAUCAAGGUGUUCACAUGGAAAAAAGCAGCAGCGGACAUUUCUGAACUCUUAACCAACGCGC